GCCAUGAUGCACAAUUAGCUAACGCGCUGCUUGAGCGAUUGUUCAAAAUUCUGCACUUUAUUUAUGGCCCAAUAACUGGACUGUUCUUACCAAAGAUUAAACUUCUUAACUUAGUGAGUUGAGGUCCACCCAUACACAACACAACAUGGCUGUAAAGAUAUUUAUAACUUAUUGUGGAGCUUGAGGCUACAAGAGUAGGUACGAACGACUCAAGAAUGAACUGUUGGAAAGUUUUCCAAGUGGUUCUCUAGAGUUCGAUUUUUACUCUACUCCUAACGUCACAGGCUACUUUGAGGUUGAAGUAAAUGGAAAACUCGUACACUCCAAAAAGAAUGGCGAUGGUUAUGUAAACUCAGAAGCAAAGGUUGAAAAGAUUGUCGCUGCCAUAAAGGCGACCAUGUAAAUGGCAGGAAUUUUAAACGAAAAUUUCACAAUCCAUUUUCUGGUAAACGAUUGGAUGACGAAUGUUACGAAAAAGUUGCACAUUUAACUACGUAACCUUCUGAUGUUAUAUAAAUCGUUUUACGAAAGAUGGUAUUGUAAAAAAUUUCGUUUGACAUUUUAUUGUGUUAUUUAUUUAUUUAUUUUUAAACCCCUUAUAAACACGAAGAGUGAGAAGGUGCAACAAUACUAAUAAUCAUAUUAUCUUUGUCUCGUGAAUUUAGGGCUUAAAUUGCUCUUUGUAUUGCGCAUUUUUCUGAGUACGCAUUUAUGAUAAUUUAAUUGUCAACAUGCCUUUCAUUUCCUUUCUUGCAACAGUUUUUUUUCAACAGUUUUAAUUCUUUUGCUAUCAUUUGCACGUUCAGUUUUUGUAAUUUUUUUUUUAUAUAUUUCAUCAUUAAAGAUA
This is a long non-coding RNA of Hydractinia symbiolongicarpus, 847 nucleotides long. RefSeq lists it as uncharacterized. The record is from RefSeq and is a predicted model, not a curated record. The transcript is spliced from 6 exons. NCBI's taxonomy places the organism in Eukaryota, Metazoa, Cnidaria, Hydrozoa, Anthoathecata, Hydractiniidae.